Long non-coding RNA from Tripterygium wilfordii, 728 nucleotides. RefSeq lists it as uncharacterized. The transcript is spliced from 4 exons. The record is from RefSeq and is a predicted model, not a curated record. NCBI's taxonomy places the organism in Eukaryota, Viridiplantae, Streptophyta, Magnoliopsida, Celastrales, Celastraceae.
GAAGAAUCCAGAGAAAGACACAAAGAAGUAGAGAGUGAGAAAGAUAAAAGAAACAUAAGAAGUCAAGGAACCUUGUUGUUGAUGACGAUUUCACACCUCUUACUGCCUCUAUUUCUCUUUUGAAGGUGCCGGUGUUGAAGUAGGAAAAUGUGGUGUAUUUGCUGUGGCUCAAGGUGAGGGAAAAGAACUAGGAACUACUACCUGAAAGCUUGAGGUUGGAGUAAAAUUAAGAAGGAGUGAACUUGAAAGGGAAAGUGUUUGUGUGACCAUUUCAUGAUGUCCUUGAGCUAAAGAUGUAGUCUUGAAAGUUUGUGGGAGCAGAACCCGUAGGUGCUGAACUAUAUAUUUUAGGUGGUGAUUAGCUAACAAGGAAUUAAUCGAGAACUCGAGGAAGUGGGGUUUGUUCCAACAGCGUCUCAGAUAGAGAGAGGAUCCAGCAUAUCCUAGACCAUCCUCAGCUACAUAGAGUCUCUAUUUCAUUUUUGGUGAACCCGCCAACUGUUAGGGUGGGUAAACUCUAUUUUGUUCAACCUAGUUUAUUGACUAAACCCUGUAUCUAGUAGCUUCAUUUGAACACAGUUAGGAAUCCUGGUAUGUACAAAUGACAUGUUAUGACGUUAUUUUGGAGUUAUUGACAGUGCACUCCCGCUCAUUUUGAAUAGUCGAUUAUAUGCUUUGAGGCUUGCUUGGCCUUAAUAGAUCCUUGGGUUCAUUGGGGUCUUGCACCA